GACGAACGCUGGCGGCGUGCCUAACACAUGCAAGUCGAGCGGAGGUACAAUGAGAGCAAUCGAGAUGUACUUUAGCGGCGGACGGGUGAGUAACGCGUGAGCAACCUGCCUAUCACAGGGGGAUAAGGCGGCGAAAGCCGCUCUAAUACCGCAUGAGACCCUCAAAGCGAUGCAAUGGGGGUGAAAGGAGCGAUCCGGUGAGAGAUGGGCUCGCGUCCGAUUAGGUAGUUGGUAGGGUAAGGGCCUACCAAGCCAAUGAUCGGUAGCCGGCCUGAGAGGGUGAACGGCCACAUUGGAACUGAGAGACGGUCCAAACUCCUACGGGAGGCAGCAGUGGGGAAUAUUGGGCAAUGGGCGGAAGCCUGACCCAGCAACGCCGCGUGAGGGAGAAGGUUUUCGGAUUGUAAACCUCUGUUCUUGGGGAAGAGGAGGAGACGGUACCCGAAGGAGGAAGCCCCGGCUAACUACGUG
This 471-nucleotide ribosomal RNA is filed under the name uncultured bacterium. RNAcentral's name for it is "bacterial SSU rRNA". It matches the Rfam family "Bacterial small subunit ribosomal RNA", at positions 28 to 507 of the family's 1533-position model. The record is from RNAcentral.